Molecule: ribosomal RNA, 253 nt
Filed under: uncultured Bacillaceae bacterium
Lineage: Bacteria; Bacillati; Bacillota; Bacilli; Caryophanales; Bacillaceae
Description: partial 16S ribosomal RNA
Rfam family: Bacterial small subunit ribosomal RNA
Source: RNAcentral
UACGUAGGGGGCAAGCGUUGUCCGGAAUUAUUGGGCGUAAAGCGCGCGCAGGCGGUACAUUAAGUCUGAUGUGAAAGCCCACGGCUCAACCGUGGAGGGUCAUUGGAAACUGGUGAACUUGAGUGCAGGAGAGGAAAGUGGAAUUCCAUGUGUAGCGGUGAAAUGCGUAGAUAUAUGGAGGAACACCAGUGGCGAAGGCGACUUUCUGGCCUGUAACUGACGCUGAGGCGCGAAAGCGUGGGGAGCAAACAGG